GGCCUACCAUGGUGGUAACGGGUAACGGGGUGUUAGGGCACGACACCGGAGAGGGAGCCUGAGAAACGGCUACCACAUCCAAGGAUGGCAGCAGGCGCGCAAAUUACCCAAUCCCGACACGGGGAGGUAGUGACAAUAAAUAACAAUACGGGGUUCUUAUGGAUCUCGUAAUUGGAAUGAGUACAAUUUAAAUCUCUUAACGAGGAACAAUUGGAGGGCAAGUCUGGUGCCAGCAGCCGCGGUAAUUCCAGCUCCAAUAGCGUAUAUUAAAGUUGUUGCAGUUAAAAAGCUCGUAGUUGAAUUUCGGGGUCAGUAGGUUGGUCAUGCCACUGGUAUGUACUGGUCUCACUGAUUCCUCCUUCCUGAUGAACUGUAAUGCCAUUAAUUUGGUGUUGCAGGGAAUCUGGACUGUUACUUUGAAAAAAUUAGAGUGUUUAAAGCAGGCUAACGCCUGAAUACAUUAUCAUGGAAUAAUGAAAUAGGACGUUCGAUCCUAUUUUGUUGGUUUCUAGGAUUGACGUAAUGAUUAAUAGGGAUAGUUGGGGGCAUUAGUAUUCAAUUGUCAGAGGUGAAAUUCUUGGAUUUAUUGAAGACUAACUACUGCGAAAGCAUUUGCCAAGGAUGUUUUCAUUAAUCAAGAACGAAAGUUAGGGGAUUGAAGACGAUCAGAUACCGUCGUAGUUUUAACCAUAAACUAUGCCGACUAGGGAUCGGAUGAUGUUAAUUUUUUAAUGACUCAUUUGGCGCCUUACG
Molecule: ribosomal RNA, 753 nt
Filed under: uncultured Glomus
Lineage: Eukaryota; Fungi; Glomeromycota; Glomeromycetes; Glomerales; Glomeraceae
Description: SSU rRNA
Rfam family: Eukaryotic small subunit ribosomal RNA
Source: RNAcentral